CCUACGGGUGGCAGCAGUGGGGAAUAUUGCACAAUGGGGGAAACCCUGAUGCAGCAACGCCGCGUGAAGGAAGACGGUUUUCGGAUUGUAAACUUCUGUUCUUAGUGAAGAAUAAUGACGGUAGCUAAGGAGCAAGCCACGGCUAACUACGUGCCAGCAGCCGCGGUAAUACGUAGGUGGCAAGCGUUGUCCGGAAUUACUGGGUGUAAAGGGAGCGCAGGCGGGAAGCCAAGUCAGCUGUGAAAACUACGGGCUUAACUUGUAGACUGCAGUUGAAACUGGUUUUCUUGAGUGAAGUAGAGGUUGGCGGAAUUCCGAGUGUAGCGGUGAAAUGCGUAGAUAUCUGGAGGAACAUCAGUGGCGAAGGCGACUAUCUGGCACAUAACUGACGCUGAGGAGCGAAAGCGUGGGUAGCAAACAGGAUUAGAUACCCCUGUAGUC
Molecule: ribosomal RNA, 441 nt
Filed under: uncultured bacterium
Lineage: Bacteria
Description: partial 16S ribosomal RNA
Rfam family: Bacterial small subunit ribosomal RNA
Source: RNAcentral